RNAcentral lists this long non-coding RNA (1906 nucleotides) under Canis lupus familiaris (dog). RNAcentral describes it as "lncRNA (ENSCAFG00845009006.1)". The record is from RNAcentral. Lineage: Eukaryota; Metazoa; Chordata; Mammalia; Carnivora; Canidae.
GCGCCGCCCUCCGCGCCGACGCCAUGCUCCAGUUCCUGCUUGGAUUUACUUUUGGCAACGUGGUUGGAAUGUAUCUGGCUCAGAACUAUGACAUACCAAACGUGGCUAAAAAACUAGAAGAAAUUAAAAAGGACUUGGAUGCCAAGAAGAAACCCCCUAGUUCAUGAGGCGAAUUCCAGCACUGCCUUUUGGAUACAUUGAUUCUGCUGUUCUUGAGGGCUUCCUUAUCAUCUGAACCAGAAGCUUUUGUUUUAAAUUCCAGCCUCAACCAUUUUCCUCUCUGCUAGAUCCUGCCUUGCCUGAGAGCACAGAUGAGGCCAGAAGUUAAGAACCACCCUUUCCAUCUUCCUCACCUCAUCCCUUCUUCCUCCCAGCCACUUGAGAAGGCCUGACUGGAAUUAUGGUGCUAGAUUAGUAAACGUGACCUUUAAUUAGUAGUCUCUUCUUUAUUCUUUGGAAUUUCUACUCUUUUCUAAAGAAAAAUUGAUGAGUUUUGUAUAGCCGAUCAGACAUAAAUAAUGCUAAUUUCACAGUUUAGCAAUUAUAAUGGCUGUUUAAACAUUUGGUACUAAAUUUGUUGUUUUUUUUGGGGGGGGGAGGGAGUUAACUUUUUAAAAUUGUAUUUGAAUUCAGUUUGCCAACAUACAGUAUAACACCCAGAAAUUAGAUUGUUUUAAAGUCCUUAAAAUUUUUUUUUAUUUAAAUUUAUUUUUGAUUGGUGUUCAAUUUGCCAAAAUAUAGAACAACACCCAGUGCUCAUCCCGUCAAGUGUCCACCUCAAUGCCCGUCACCCAGUCACCCCAACCCCCGCCCACCUCCCCUUCCACCACCCCUAGUUCGUGUCCCAGAGUUAGGAGUCUUUCAUGUUCUGUCUCCCUUUCUGAUACUUCCCACUCAUUUUUUCUCCUUUUCCCUUUAUUCCCUUUCACUAUUUUUUAUAUUCCCCAAAUGAAUGAGACCACAUAAUGUUUGUCCUUCUCCAAUUGUAAAGUCCUUAAAAUUAAAAGCCCAGAAACCAGUUACUCUGGAAUUAUCCCAUUUAUUUUAUGCUGUUAUCAGGCAGCUCCAUAGUUGCUAAUUUAAUCAGUAAAUUGAUUUACUAUUCAUUAACUGGGGAACUAUAUUCUGAGGGACCUGUCAGGAACUAGGGAGUUUAAAAAUAUGUAAAAUAAUGGCCUUUAUCCUCUGAAGAAUUCAGUCUAGUAUGCAUAUCUUUCCCUGAAUCAUGUCUUUGAUUUGGCUCUUCUCCCUCCAAAGAAUCAUACUCACCUUAAGGGAUUACAGGUGCAUUUGACAUUACAUGAUGGAUAAACGAUACGUUGUAAAGGAAAUUUUAUGCCUCUUCACAUUAAAAAAUGUAUUUACAUUGUAACUUUAUAGCAAUUCUCAUAAGAAACUUUGAGGGGUUUUGUUUUGUUUCCUGUAUUCAGAAAUCACCAUGUAUGUUGACCCUAUGUAUGUUGACCCAUACAUAGGGAUAUCUCUACAUCCCUCAUUUAGGAAGAAGCUACUGAAGAUGAGACCUCCACUCAAAUGCCAAAGAUUUGUCAUUGUCGAUAAAUCAGGAUGGAACAUAGAGGCCACUUUUAGGCAACAGGCUUGAGCAAUAGAGACCUGAGCAAGGCAAAAGGGCCCACAGUGACCACUGAGCUGAUGCAGUGUCAUUAAGCCAUAGGCCCUAACUGACCAAUGGGCCACUUAAAACCAGUUACUGUUCCUAAGAUUGCCAAAAAAGGGAGAAUUCCAUCCGGCCCCAUAGUCCCUUAUUUCGUCCUGUAAAUAUAGCCCCUCACCAUUGCCUCUUGGCAGACAGUCCUUCCUUUGUUGUGGUGCCCACUGCUUCCUUUCAGUGUAUUCAGUAAACUUCUACUAAAGCUUUAAAAAAAAAAAAAAAAAAAAAAAAAAG